AAUACGAAGGGGGCUAGCGUUGUUCGGAAUCACUGGGCGUAAAGCGCACGCAGGCGGAUUGAUAAGUCAGGGGUGAAAUCCCGGAGCUCAACUUCGGAAUUGCCUUUGAUACUGUCUGUCUUGAGUCCGGGAGAGGUGAGUGGAAUUCCUAGUGUAGAGGUGAAAUUCGUAGAUAUUAGGAAGAACACCAGUGGCGAAGGCGGCUCACUGGCCCGGUACUGACGCUCAUGUGCGAAAGCGUGGGGAGCAAACAG
Molecule: ribosomal RNA, 254 nt
Filed under: uncultured prokaryote
Description: partial 16S ribosomal RNA
Rfam family: Bacterial small subunit ribosomal RNA
Source: RNAcentral